This 216-nucleotide long non-coding RNA is filed under the name Mustela putorius furo (domestic ferret). RNAcentral describes it as "lncRNA (ENSMPUG00000029810.1)". Lineage: Eukaryota; Metazoa; Chordata; Mammalia; Carnivora; Mustelidae. The record is from RNAcentral.
CCCAAGCAGAAUAACCAGUCAUCACCAUGCAGAAUAAGGUAUGGGGAAGCUGGAACAUACAUUCAGAAGUCAAUGGAAAAGACCAAAUAUGCACAUUUGGGAAACUCAACAGACAUUUGAGAAGAUCUCAUCUCUUUGGACAUGUUCUAUGGUGAUCAUGGUAUGUUCCUCAGCAGCUCAAAAAACUUCUGUGGUGGAUGCUGUGAUGCGCUCUCC